UUGGUAUCGAAUACAUGUGUUAGAACGUAAAAUUGUAAACAACGUUAACCGGCUAUGGUGUUUUGUGUUGCAUACAACUGUAAUACUGGAUCAGGUCAGGGAUUAUGUUUGUUUACAUUUCCGAAAGACCAACAAAGACGAAAGAUUUGGACACGAAAGGUGAAGAAGCAAAAUUAAAUUUCGUUCAACGGAGCAUUCCAGAUUAUGACCCCAAACACUUUGAUUUUGAUCAAUUUGUUAUUGAUGCAAUGAUUGCCUCGUUCAUGACAUUCACACCAAAUCAGAAUAAGACUGAACGCAAAUGUUAUGACUGUUUAAUUAUGACAAGAUUGUUUAAUUAUGACAAGACGGCAGGAACAGACUUCUGCCCUUCCUGCAGGGAGCCAGCCCAAGUAUGCAUCUAGAACAUAGCCAUAGGAAAAUGACGGAGAUUAGAGGUAUCUACAUUACAAAAUCAUAUAUUUCAUUAUUCGUAAGGCAUAUUUGGUUCUUAAAUUAAAGCAGGGUAGGCAUCAUUUGUGUUUAUAAUUUGGUUAGGAUUAUUUCUAUUGAAGCUCGAUCUAAAUAGACUGGUUUAAACGAUAUUUUAACUUCGAGGCUAUAAAAUGUUUAGAAGUCAUAGCAUACAAUGAAUGAACACAAGUGUGUUACUUGCAGUUACAUGUACGACAGACCAAAUACAGACAUUUGAAAUGUUAUCUAAGACGGAUAACAAAAUAAUGGAAGGUUUGAAAGUCAAUCACUGAUCUUUUUCUGUAAAAGGGGGCCGGGAGCUUAUAUAUACCAGGAAAACAUAAAACCUUCAAAAAAUAAUUUGCUGAUAGGUUGCCGUCUGAUUUAUGCAUAUAUAGUAUUAAAAAAAUAAUUUGUUUAUAGGUUGCUGUCUCCUUUAUGUAUAUAUAUAUAUAUAGUAUUGUAUAAAAUAUAUAAGGGUUCGGCGGAACACAGUGUUUCUUUCGCCUACUUUUGCUGUUAAUUGCAGGCUCAACAAAAAUGAGGGGAAAAAUAAUUAAAAAAUCCACUUGAUUUUAUCUUUAUAUUGUGAGCAGCUUCUGUCCAAGUUUGGUAAAAACCCUGGAUAGAUAAUGAAUCUAAUAAAUAUUUAAAAACUUGAACUGCAGACUGUAUGUAAUGUUAACUGGCAAAAACACUAAGUCUAUUUUACAAGUAAAAUACGGAGAAAAUGGAUUAUUUUUAAACAAAAUUUACUUCUAUAUUCUAUGUAUUCUCUUAUGAUCAUGAGCUGCUGUAUCUUGAUGCUUCUGUCCAAGUUUGGUAGAAAUCCAGGCCAAUUUAAGAAAGUUAUUGAUAUUUUACAUGUUUUAAAAACUUUAACCAGAGUGAAUAUUUGUGGACGACGACGAUGCCGCCGACCGAAUGCAGCAUCGCUAUGUCUCAAUUUUUCAACAAAAGUCGAAGGCUCGAUAAAAAUGAUAUAAAAUGUACUUCACCUACAGUGUACAUGUCAGUAUAAAACCUUCAAUGAGAUAAACCUUAACAGAAACAAAACAACAAGGCUGAUAGUUUAGUCUUUGAUGCAUGAUUUUUUUUAUUAGUUGCAAGUGGCUUUGAACUAGCUGUCAGAUAACUGUGAGUACUCUCAGAUCUGUUCAUUGUGUCUUUUUGUGUAGGGAUGUAUAAGUACCUGGCCACGUCCACUUGUAUUUUUGUCCAUCUGAUGGGUUAAGCCUUUUUCAACUGAUUUUUAUAGUUCGUUCUUUUGUUGUACUGUUAAACCACUGUCCAAGGUUAGGGAGGGUUGGGAUCUCGCUAACAUGUUUAACCCAGCCACAUUAUUUAUGUUAUGUACCUGUCUCAAGUCAGGAGCCUAUAAUUCAGUGGUUGUCUUUUGUUAAUGUCAUCACAUCUUUUUUUUAUAUUGUAUACAACUAUCAAGUCAAUUUACAGAUUUUAAGAAUGAGCCUAAUCCAACUCUGUAUGGCAAUCAUUAAAUAAUGCCCCCCCCCCUUUUCAUAAAAAAAGAAUAAUAAGAAUUAAGAAAGAAAAAGAAAAGAUUAAAAUGUCAAUUGUUCUUGAACAAUUGAGAGGUCUUUCCUUUUGUAAUGUAAAAUACAUGUUCCAAUAGACGUAGAAUGUACUGAAAAGCUUUAAAACACACUGAAAAUCCUUUAAAUUAGGUCAAAAACACAUAAUUCGCUAUAUAGGACGACCUUAACCUUUGACCUUUUGACCUUUGUCAAGGUCAUUAGUCCCCAAUGUCAUUGCUGAAGACCCCAUGGGUCUAGGACCUUUGGUUAUAUAGUAAAAGCUGAUUUUGUCUUUUCAGAAACCUAAAUCAGGGGUUAUGCCCCUUACAGAAAAGUCAAACCUCUUUGGUCAAAAUGUAACAAAGUUGCGCCUAAAUAACCCAAACAUUUUCCACUAUUCAAAACUUCUGUAAGUAUAAUGGUUUCUGAGAUUAUCCCAUAACAAGGUGUUAGGUCAAAGGUCAAGGUCAACAUACACAUUUGACCUUGAGGUAUUUUUCAAAGUCACAUGAAUUGAUGAUGAAUGGUGAAGAUCCUAGGUGUUUACGACCUACGGUUUCUGAGUUUUGGUGGCCAACCGACACCGGUUAAUUUUCAUAGGGGCAUAACCCUACCAAUGAGUCGUUGAAUCUUUUCGAUCCAAAUGUAACGAAGAACCGGUGUCUGGUCCUGAACAAAUUUCACCCUUUGUUUUUUUUCUACCUAUUACGGUUACGGUGUUGGAACGAUAACAAGGUUUUUGGGUUUCGGAGGGAUUACUCCGAACCGACAAAAUAUUUCGACUAACAGGGUGAGUUCUGGAUAGGUAUUCAUGACACCGAUACAAAGUGUGAACAUGAAAGCGACACGUCUUACGGUUAAGGCUGCUAACUUCGUCAAAGUUUGGCGGAAAAAGAAUAAUAAUAAUAAUAAUAAUAAUAAUAAACAGAAGAAAUACAGUAAGGUCUUUCCCUUUUGAAAAAGGAGAGACCUUAAUAAUUGGAUUCAGAGAUAUGAAAGACUUUUUUUAUUAGUUGUCAGUAACUGCCAGUACAUUUAGAUCAGUAAUUAGUCUUUUUGUGGUUGGGAUAUACAUGUACAAGUACCCGGCUACGUCCUCUGUGUGUCAGGAGCCUGAAAUUCAGUGGAUGUUGUUUGUUAAUUUGUUACAUAUAUUUGUUUUUCGUUCAUGUUUUGUACAUAAUUUAGCCAUCAGUUUUCUCUUUUGAAUUGUUUUACAUUUGUCAAUGGGACCUUCUAUAGCUUACUAUGUGGUAUGGGCUUAUUUAGAAAUAAGAAGAUGAGACAUGAUUUCCAAUGAGACAUCUCUCCACCAGAGACUAAAUGAUGCAGAAAGUACAUAUUAUGGUGUUAUCAUUUAAAAAAAUCCAUUAGGAGUCUGGCAUCCAAUGAAAGUUGUCCAUAAUUAUUAACCAUGCUGAAAGAUUCAAGCUAUGUUGUUCCUAUGCAAAUCAAAUUGUUUUUUUCAAUUGAACAAGACUAAUUCUCUUUUUAUUUAUUUUUAAAGGUAAUGUGCAUGAACUUAUGGAAGUAUCCUUCAUACAAAAGUGGCUUAGAUAUAAUUUUUACUGUUAUUAUGUAGCAGCAGUUGAUAAAAGACUGGCUGAGCCACCUCUACUAGCAGAUCAGGCAAACAGACAAGAAAAGGAGAC
RNAcentral lists this long non-coding RNA (3640 nucleotides) under Mytilus galloprovincialis (Mediterranean mussel). The record is from RNAcentral. Lineage: Eukaryota; Metazoa; Mollusca; Bivalvia; Mytilida; Mytilidae.